Molecule: ribosomal RNA, 407 nt
Filed under: uncultured bacterium
Lineage: Bacteria
Description: partial 16S ribosomal RNA
Rfam family: Bacterial small subunit ribosomal RNA
Source: RNAcentral
AUUGAACGCUGGCGGCAGGCCUAACACAUGCAAGUCGAGCGGAGCGGCGGACGGGGGAGUAAUGCCUAGGAAUCUGCCUGGUAGUGGGGGAUAACGUCCGGAAACGGGCGCUAAUACCACAUACUCUCAGAUGAGCCUAGGUCGGAUUAGCUUGUGGGUGGGGUAAAGGCCUACCAAGGCCACGAUCCCUAACUGGGCUGAGAGGAUGAGCAGCCACACUGGAACUGAGACACGGUCCAGACGCCUACGGGAGGCAGCAGUGGGGAAUAUUGGACAAUGGGCGAAAGCCUGAUCCAGCCAUGCCGCGUGUGUGAAGAAGGCCUUCGGAUUGUAAAGCACUUUAAGUUGGGAGGCGUUACCAGCAGAAUAAGCACCGGCUAACUUCGUGCCAGCAGCCGCGGUAAUUC